Rhopalosiphum padi (bird cherry-oat aphid) is the source of this 1473-nucleotide RNA transcript. RefSeq lists it as uncharacterized. The transcript is spliced from 3 exons. The record is from RefSeq and is a predicted model, not a curated record. Lineage: Eukaryota; Metazoa; Arthropoda; Insecta; Hemiptera; Aphididae.
UCUACAGUACUCUUGUCGCCGCCGCGCCGUAUCUUUUUUGUCCGGUGUGGGCAUAUCUGCCGUAUGAAACCGCGUGUUUUCGGGCCAAGUCCGUGUUAUUUGUCUUGUCGUUCGUGUCAACAUCGUAAGCCGCCGCUAUAUUAUCUUACUGUCGGCUGAAAGAAUAUAUUAUAUUAUAUUAUAUAAAUGUCUCUCAUAUACACCCACAGAAGAUCUUUUAGAAUCAAAAAAAUGGAUAAAUAACAAAUCAAUAUUUGACAAGAUUAAAUUUAUCAUUGUGGAUUUUGAAUUCACAAUGAUACAUCGAAUAGAUCUACUUCUAGUAUCGGGGUCUAUGGCAGACAACGAAGAGAAUUUUAUUCCAAUAAAAUUAGCAGGAAGGCCACUAGUUUUAACAAAGAAUAAAAUUGAAAUAUUGAAAAAUCAUGAAGUUGCUCCAUUAAAAAAACAGUUAAUAAAAAUUUUUAAAAAUAAAACAAAUAUUUUAAAUCCAAUAUUGGAGCAACUUCAAUUAAGUUUAGAAAUUAAGAAGGGGUCUAAUUUAUCACCUACAUUUAUGAAUAAUUAUUUGCAAUCUGAUAAUAGAGAACCUAUUAUUGUAUUAUGGAACGGCACAACGGAUAAAGAAAUAAUAAAUCGGUUAAAAUUAAAUAUGAAGAAAAUAUUAAAUAUCACGUCCUAUAGUGAUAACAAUGAUAGUUAUUUAAUUUAAAAUUAUUUGACAUGACAGAAAAUACACAUAAAUUAUUAUAUUCGUCGAGCAUUGGGUACCAUGAAAAAAAUGGGCGAAUGUUAAAUUUGAUGGAAACCCAUGACGCAAUAUGGAAUAUAAAACACAAAAUAACACAUAGUCAUGACCCGGUAGCAGAUGUUAUAAUUACAAAAUGUAUUUUUAAUAAUAUUAUUAAAAAAAUGGGCCUUAUACAAUUAAUCAAAGCGUGCCAAACAAGUUUAUAAUAAAAACUAAAUAUUUUAAAAUUGUUUUGCAUGUCUUAUAAACUUAUAUUUGUCUCAUUUUUACCAAUAAUAUGAUUGAAUAUAUAUAUAUUUAUUGAUAUAAUUAGACUGCUACCGGAUCAUGUAUUGGCUAUGUAUUAUUUUAUGGUCUGUUAUGCAUAUUAAAUUGUGCGUUUCAUUAAGGUUCAGCGUCAUCUCAUUUGUUUCAUGGUAACAAUAUGUUCCUGCAAAGUAUAACAAUUUGUUUGUUUUUUCUGUCACAUCAUAAGCUUUUAAAUUGAAUUUACUGUCGUUGUUAUCACUAUAAGAUGUGAUGCUCAACAUUAAGUUUAUAAAAAAAGUGAAUCAUGUUACAUAUUAUUUCUUUAUCUGUUGUCCCGUUCCAGAAGAUUCUAAUAUAGAUAGUUAUGUAAAUAUUUGUAAACUUUUUUUGUAAUUACAACUUUACUAAUGUAUUGUGUAUAUUGUAUUUUGUAUAAUAUAUUAAACUUUGUUUGUUUACCUUUAACAUUAUUA